UGGUGCAAGGCUGAAGUGUGCACAGAUUCCUCAGAUGCUGCCUGGAACAAACUGCUCACAUUCUCUGACAGGCCAAACUUUGCAGGCAUACAAAAAUCCAUGGCACUGGUACAAUUGGGGUUUCCAUGGUAAACAAGAAAACACCUUUCGAAAUUCCAAGAUCUGCCUACGCUAUCUUCUUCUAAUGCGUGGAAUCUACAUACACAUAAAUGCUGCACAAGAACAUACUGCAGCAUAAAGAAAAAACUAUCACGAUGUGUCAACAGGAACCCAUACAUAUCAAAGAAAUAAUACAUUCACUGGAGAGACAUUCCGUGCAUAAGAUGGCUAAACAUGAUCCAGGAGCUGUCACUUAAGGCCAGCACAAACCUGGACAACACUGCACCUUUGUUCAUGUAUUGAAUUGUAUUUCACCACUUGCACUGAAAGCACCACUAGGGACUUGUGAUCUUGUGUGUAUUUGUGGGUGAUAAAGUAACUAUGUUAUUAUUUGGGACUGCAAUCCAUGCUUUACAACAGUGCAGUAUACAUUGCUGUGUAUUGCCUGGGAUUAUUAUUUCGGGUCACAAGACCAGGAUUAUUAAAAUAAACACAAUUGUACCUGGAUUAUCUUUUCAAUGAUCACCGCAUCACUCCUGCACCUGCACACUGCAAGCCACUUUGCCACACUCUCAAACAAAGCUCUUUGUGUAAUUUCUCAAAUGCACGAAGUAGCGAUCAU
Acipenser ruthenus (sterlet) is the source of this 721-nucleotide long non-coding RNA. RefSeq lists it as uncharacterized. Lineage: Eukaryota; Metazoa; Chordata; Actinopteri; Acipenseriformes; Acipenseridae. The record is from RefSeq and is a predicted model, not a curated record. The transcript has 3 exons.